AUCAACUGGAAAUGUUAAUGAUUACUAUCCAGUUGAAGCUUUACAUGAAAAUAUAGCUGGAACUAUUGAGAAACAAAACUAUGUUGGGCACAAUGUAACUGAUUUUGAUGAAUUAACUGCUAUUUUAGACCAACAAUCUGCUACUACAGGCGCAUUUAAUCAAAACUUUAAUAAGUCUUAUUCUAUUGAAACUUUGUAUAAAGAUUUAUCUGAGGUUAUCGAGCUACAAAAUGUUGUAGCACAAGAUUGUGAUGAUGCUAAUGUUGAUAUAUUGACAACUGAUUUGGAUCAACAAUCUUCUAGAACAGGCAGUUUAUUUGAAUCUGAUACAGAAACACAAGACAGGUAUCCAGGUUUACGGCCUAAAACUAAAAAUGUUAAACCUGUAUCUAAUGACAGUUCAGUAAGUUCAGAUUAUUCUGAGUAUGAUUCUGACUAUGUGCCUCAAUCUAAUAAAGCUGUCAGUAGCAAAUUGUAUGAUUCUGAUAAAGAAGAAGAUAAAGACUUUGCUAAUUCAUCAGACAUCAAUAUUGAUGAGUAUGAGGAUUAAACAAAUAUGGUGCAAAAGUUUACUCCAAGUGCAUCUAAAAUAAGUUCAGAAAAAAUAUCAGUGCCAUUUAUAACAAAUAAGUUUAAUUUUGACGGUGAAGUUGAAAAAAGUAAAAAAACUACUUCUUACAAAAGAGUUUGGGACA
This is a long non-coding RNA of Aphis gossypii (cotton aphid), 695 nucleotides long. RefSeq lists it as uncharacterized. The transcript has 3 exons. NCBI's taxonomy places the organism in Eukaryota, Metazoa, Arthropoda, Insecta, Hemiptera, Aphididae. The record is from RefSeq and is a predicted model, not a curated record.